GAGCGAACAGAAGGGAGCUUGCUCCCGGAUGUUAGCGGCGGACGGGUGAGUAACACGUGGGUAACCUGCCUGUAAGACUGGGAUAACUCCGGGAAACCGGAGCUAAUACCGGAUAGUUCCUUGAACCGCAUGGUUCAAGGAUGAAAGACGGUUUCGGCUGUCACUUACAGAUGGACCCGCGGCGCAUUAGCUAGUUGGUGAGGUAACGGCUCACCAAGGCGACGAUGCGUAGCCGACCUGAGAGGGUGAUCGGCCACACUGGGACUGAGACACGGCCCAGACUCCUACGGGAGGCAGCAGUAGGGAAUCUUCCGCAAUGGACGAAAGUCUGACGGAGCAACGCCGCGUGAGUGAUGAAGGUUUUCGGAUCGUAAAGCUCUGUUGUUAGGGAAGAACAAGUGCAAGAGUAACUGCUUGCACCUUGACGGUACCUAACCAGAAAGCCACGGCUAACUACGUGCCAGCAGCCGCGGUAAUACGUAGGUGGCAAGCGUUGUCCGGAAUUAUUGGGCGUAAAGGGCUCGCAGGCGGUUUCUUAAGUCUGAUGUGAAAGCCCCCGGCUCAACCGGGGAGGGUCAUUGGAAACUGGGAAACUUGAGUGCAGAAGAGGAGAGUGGAAUUCCACGUGUAGCGGUGAAAUGCGUAGAGAUGUGGAGGAACACCAGUGGCGAAGGCGACUCUCUGGUCUGUAACUGACGCUGAGGAGCGAAAGCGUGGGGAGCGAAAAGGAUUAGAUACCCUGGUAGUCCACGCCGUAAACGAUGAGUGCUAAGUGUUAGGGGGUUUCCGCCCC
This 793-nucleotide ribosomal RNA is filed under the name Bacillus altitudinis. RNAcentral describes it as "bacterial SSU rRNA". It matches the Rfam family "Bacterial small subunit ribosomal RNA", at positions 64 to 839 of the family's 1533-position model. Lineage: Bacteria; Bacillati; Bacillota; Bacilli; Caryophanales; Bacillaceae. The record is from RNAcentral.